Molecule: ribosomal RNA, 251 nt
Filed under: uncultured prokaryote
Description: partial 16S ribosomal RNA
Rfam family: Bacterial small subunit ribosomal RNA (bases 43-251)
Source: RNAcentral
CCUUAGGAGGCGAUCUUUCUCCUUCUUCCCUUUUCUUCCCUCUCUUUCCUUCUUUUCUUUCCUUUGGGCGUUAAAUCUCCCGGCUCAACUGGGAGAGGUCGUUCAAUACUACCGGACUUGAGAGCGAUAGAGGAAAAUGGAAUUCCCGGUGUAGUGGUGAAAUGCGUAGAUAUCGGGAGGAACACCAGUGGCGAAAGCGAUUUUCUGGAUCGUUUCUGACGCUCAGACGCGAAAGCUAGGGUAGCAAACGG